ACUUGCUGAUAUCAACAGAGUGCGUAAUCAACUGAUUGUGUCACAGAAACAACACAAUCGAUCAAUGAAUUCAUAAUCGGAGCAUUCUUAAGAUGUACACAGAAGCAAAUAGUUUUGAAGAUGGAGAAUUCAUCAAGUAACUGACUAAGCAAGCAAACAGACCACAAGACGCUCAUCAGCAUCUUGGCUUCCUCUAUAAACAGUCUCAGCAAAGGAAUCCCAUAAGGGACAGGUAACUUGAAUCAGAGAGAGGAUCACAUGGAAAUAUCUGAGUUUCAUUGGUGAAAGUCAUCUUGUAUAGAUGAUUGGUUGGACGGAAUUGGCCACUGGCAUAGUUGAGACUAAAGAUCUCAAUAAAACUCCAAUGACCAACAGAUAAAAUCAACUCUAGAGUUUCACCAGUAUUGGCGGUGUACUGACGCGAGGAAUGAAGCACCUUAACUUGGACUCUCCAUUGUGUCUUGUAAGGCCGGACAUCUUUUAGAUACAAGCAUAAACUUUUUGGAUCAUGGAAUUGCAAACGAAGCUCAAACCAAACUGAGGUAUCUCCCUAAUCUUGCUUGAUUUAUGCGUUUUUUACCAAAAACAAAAUUAAUUUUAUUGCUCUACUAUUGCGUGAUCAUAUAGUUACGAUCAUCAAUCAAUCGACCGUGCGGCCUUAUUAUCUUUGGUACGAUCUGUAUUCUUUUACGUGUUGCCUUUUUUUAUAACGCAUUGUUUUAUUGUUUUAAAUAUAUUUAUGUGAUAUGUAAACUUUAAAUCUGUUCAACAUGAUGUGUUCUAUAUUAUGGAGUCUAUGAAGAUUAUUCAUCGGCCGCGACGUGGUCCGGAUCGUAUGAAAAAGAGGGCACAAGUCGAUAUGGACUGGAAGAUAUGUUUCCGGACUUAUAAUUAUCAUUAUCGUGUUAUCGAUAUCUCGAUGUAUUUUUAGGUUUUGGUUAUGAUAUCUUUGUUUACUAUACUAAAUUCGUAUUAGUAAACGAAAUCUUUUCCGUAUUAAUGAAUGAAAUACUUUUGAAUA
This is a long non-coding RNA of Arabidopsis lyrata subsp. lyrata, 1021 nucleotides long. RefSeq lists it as uncharacterized. The transcript is spliced from 6 exons. NCBI's taxonomy places the organism in Eukaryota, Viridiplantae, Streptophyta, Magnoliopsida, Brassicales, Brassicaceae. The record is from RefSeq and is a predicted model, not a curated record.